GGGAGUAACGCGUGGGUAACCGUGCCUCAUACAGGGGGAUAACAGUUAGAAAUGACUGCUAAUACCGCAUAAGCGCACAGUGCUGCAUGGCACAGUGUGAAAAACUCCGGUGGUAUGAGAUGGACCCGCGUCUGAUUAGCUAGUUGGUGGGGUAACGGCCUACCAAGGCGACGAUCAGUAGCCGGCCUGAGAGGGUGACCGGCCACAUUGGGACUGAGACACGGCCCAA
This 229-nucleotide ribosomal RNA is filed under the name uncultured bacterium. RNAcentral's name for it is "partial 16S ribosomal RNA". It matches the Rfam family "Bacterial small subunit ribosomal RNA", at positions 106 to 334 of the family's 1533-position model. The record is from RNAcentral.